UUACGAGGUCAGGACACUGUGAGGAUUGACAGAUUGAAAGCUCUUUCUUGAUUCAGUGGGUGGUGGUACAUGGCCGUUCUUAGCUGGUGGAGUGAUUUGUCUGGUUAAUUCCGUUAACGAACGAGACCUUAACCUGCUAAAUAGUCACGCGAACCGGUCCGCAAGGGCUCAAAGUUCGCGGCUCGACUUCUUAGAGGGACUAUUCGCACCCGCCAGCGAAUGGAAGUUUGAGGCAAUAACAGGUCUGUGAUACCCUUAGAUGUUCUCGGCCGCACGCGCGUUACACUGACAGAGUCAACGAGCGUUUUUCCUUGCCCGACAGGGCUGGGUAACCUCCUGAAACUCCGUCGUGAUGGGGAUAGAUCAUUGCAAUUAUUGAUCUUGAACGAGGAAUUCCUAGUAGGCGCGAGUCAUCAACUCGCGCCGAUUACGUCCCUGCCCUCUGUACACACCGCCCGUCGCUCCUACCGAUUGAACGGUCCGGCGAGAACUCCGGAUGGUC
This 502-nucleotide ribosomal RNA is filed under the name Vermamoeba vermiformis. RNAcentral's name for it is "SSU rRNA". It matches the Rfam family "Eukaryotic small subunit ribosomal RNA", at positions 1215 to 1719 of the family's 1831-position model. The record is from RNAcentral. Lineage: Eukaryota; Tubulinea; Echinamoebida; Vermamoebidae.